Molecule: ribosomal RNA, 305 nt
Filed under: uncultured bacterium
Lineage: Bacteria
Description: partial 16S ribosomal RNA
Rfam family: Bacterial small subunit ribosomal RNA
Source: RNAcentral
ACAGCAGCCGCCGCGGUAAUACAGAGGGUGCGAGCGUUAAUCGGAUUUACUGGGCGUAAAGCGUGCGUAGGCGGCUAAUUGAGUCGGAUGUGAAAUCCCCGAGCUUAACUUGGGAAUUGCAUUCAAUACUGGUUAGCUAGAGUGUGGGAGAGGAUGGUAGAAUUCCAGGUGUAGCGGUGAAAUGCGUAGAGAUCUGGAGGAAUACCGAUGGCGAAGGCAGCCAUCUGGCCUAACACUGACGCUGAGGUACGAAAGCAUGGGGAGCAAACAGGAUUAGAUACCCCGGUAGUCCCUGUCUCUUAUAC